CACCACUCAAGCCUGGCUUGGUGUUGGGCGACGUCCCCUUUGGGGACGCGCCUCGAAACGCUCGGUGGCGUGGCACCGGCUUUAAGCGUAGCAGAAUCUUUCGCUUCAAAAGUCGGGGCCCCGUCUGCCGGAAGACCUACUCGCAA
RNAcentral lists this unclassified non-coding RNA (146 nucleotides) under uncultured Cenococcum. Its description in RNAcentral is "sequence contains ITS2". The record is from RNAcentral. Lineage: Eukaryota; Fungi; Ascomycota; Dothideomycetes; Gloniales; Gloniaceae.